Long non-coding RNA from Drosophila elegans, 582 nucleotides. RefSeq lists it as uncharacterized. The transcript is spliced from 3 exons. NCBI's taxonomy places the organism in Eukaryota, Metazoa, Arthropoda, Insecta, Diptera, Drosophilidae. The record is from RefSeq and is a predicted model, not a curated record.
CUGGUGGAUUAGGAUCGGCUCAUCUCCCCGCCCAAGGUAACUCACACAACCAUCUCGGUAGCUUGUUUACAUUUAAUUUUUGAAACUCUCAAGGCCGAUCUCAGACCGUCGCCCAGAUGAGAAGCGGUCAAAGCGGCAACAACCGAAAGGGAAAUUUUUAGACGCUUAGAGUUCAAAGUGUCAGGCAAACUCGCCACACGGCACUAAAUUGGAGGCGUUUGCCAACCGGGUCGCCUAAUCCUGAGGAGCUCCAAGGGAAAAGAAGGGACGUGCUGACAAGGUAAGUACGCUAAACAAAUCCCACAAGUUAUUAAAUUUCGCGACCCAAUUUAGAUAUAGUUUGACGCGCGGCCAGGCUUCGGGCUUGAACCUCUAAAUUUAGAUCAGAUUUCACAAGUUCAACGUCGCAUGUGUUGAAACUGCAGCAGGAAAAACGCUGAUGGCGAAGACCAGCGCGACUCCGCACGGAGCCAAUUGGUCCGGAGGAUAGCGUAGCGUGGCCGGAAGCAGGGCGUCGGUGGACUUGGAGAUGACCACGUGGCCAGCGCGGGCAUUCGUUCCCGGAACGGACUCACCGAGGGA